AUAGCGUAUAUUAAAGUUGUUGCAGUUAAAAAGCUCGUAGUUGAACUUCUGUACGUGCCCGGUUCUGGCUUCGGUCAAGCUGUGGUGCGUGCAUCCGCUUGCAAACCUGGCCCGGCCUUUACUGGUCGACCAGGGGAGUAGGCCUUUUACUUUGAAAAAAUUAGAGUGUUUCAAGCAGGCAAUGGCUCGAAUACAUUAGCAUGGAAUAAUGGAAUAGGACUUUUGUCCAUUUGGUUGGUUAUUGGACAUGAGUAAUGAUUAAAAGGGACAGUUGGGGGCAUUAGUAUUUAAUUGUCAGAGGUGAAAUUCUUGGAUUUAUUAAAGACUAACCUAUG
Molecule: ribosomal RNA, 335 nt
Filed under: uncultured eukaryote
Lineage: Eukaryota
Description: SSU rRNA
Rfam family: Eukaryotic small subunit ribosomal RNA
Source: RNAcentral